AGAGGUGGCAAGCGUUGUUCGGAAUUACUGGGCGUAAAGGGCGCGUAGGCGGCCUUCUCAGUCGGACGUGAAAUCCCCAGGCUUAACUUGGGAACUGCGUCCGAUACUGGAUGGCUUGAGUGCGGGAGAGGGAUGUGGAAUUCCAGGUGUAGCGGUGAAAUGCGUAGAUAUCUGGAGGAACACCGGUGGCGAAGGCGGCAUCCUGGACCGACACUGACGCUGAGGCGCGAAAGCCAGGGGAGCAAACGGGAUUAGAUACCCCGGUAGUCCUGGCCCUAAACGAUGAGUGCUUGGUGUGGCGGGUAUCGAUCCCUGCCGUGCCGAAGCUAACGCAUUAAGCACUCCGCCUGGGGAGUACGGUCGCAAGGCUG
Molecule: ribosomal RNA, 371 nt
Filed under: uncultured bacterium
Lineage: Bacteria
Description: bacterial SSU rRNA
Rfam family: Bacterial small subunit ribosomal RNA
Source: RNAcentral